This 460-nucleotide ribosomal RNA is filed under the name uncultured bacterium. RNAcentral's name for it is "partial 16S ribosomal RNA". It matches the Rfam family "Bacterial small subunit ribosomal RNA", at positions 338 to 795 of the family's 1533-position model. The record is from RNAcentral.
CCUACGGGAGGCAGCAGUGAGGAAUAUUGGUCAAUGGACGAGAGUCUGAACCAGCCAAGUAGCGUGAAGGAUGACUGCCCUAUGGGUUGUAAACUUCUUUUAUAGAGGAAUAAAACGAGGCACGUGUGCCUUUUUGCAUGUACUUUAUGAAUAAGGAUCGGCUAACUCCGUGCCAGCAGCCGCGGUAAUACGGAGGAUCCGAGCGUUAUGCGGAUUUAUUGGGUUUAAAGGGAGCGUAGAUGGGUUGUUAAGUCAGUUGUGAAAGUUUGCGGCUCAACCGUAAAAUUGCAAUUGAUACUGGCAGGCUGGAGUACAGUUGAGGUAGGCGGAAUUCGUGGUGUAGCGGUGAAAUGCUUAGAUAUCACGAAGAACCCCGAUUGCGAAGGCAGCUUACUAAACUGUGACUGACAUUGAUGCUCGAAAGUGUGGGUAUCAAACAGGAUUAGAUACCCUUGUAGUC